This 447-nucleotide ribosomal RNA is filed under the name uncultured bacterium. Its description in RNAcentral is "bacterial SSU rRNA". It matches the Rfam family "Bacterial small subunit ribosomal RNA", at positions 329 to 793 of the family's 1533-position model. The record is from RNAcentral.
AGCCAGACUCCUACGGGAGGCAGCAGUGGGGAAUAUUGCACAAUGGGGGAAACCCUGAUGCAGCGACGCCGCGUGAGUGAAGAAGUAUUUCGGUACGUAAAGCUCUAUCAGCAGGGAAGAAAAUGACGGUACCUGACUAAGAAGCCCCGGCUAACUACGUGCCAGCAGCCGCGGUAAUACGUAGGGGGCAAGCGUUAUCCGGAUUUACUGGGUGUAAAGGGAGCGUAGACGGCAUGGCAAGUCAGAUGUGAAAGCCCGGGGCUCAACCCCGGGACUGCAUUUGAAACUGUCAGGCUGGAGUGCAGGAGAGGUAAGUGGAAUUCCUAGUGUAGCGGUGAAAUGCGUAGAUAUUAGGAGGAACACCAGUGGCGAAGGCGGCUUACUGGACUGUAACUGACGUUGAGGCUCGAAAGCGUGGGGAGCAAACAGGAUUAGAUACCCGGGUAA